AUGAGUAUCCUAAUGUGGAACUGCCAGGGGGACCGCCGGACAGUUCGUGAGGUGUUGGCCCUCUCAAAAGCCAAUUCCCCGGGGCUGAUUUUCCUAUCAGAAACACGUCAAGCCUCUAGUCAGAUGGAAAAGCUUAAAAGGAGACUGGAUAUGAAGGGUUUUGCUGGUGUAUCUAGUGUUGGCCUCAGUUGGGGGCUUGCACUAUUUUGGGAUGAGAACUUACAAGUA
This 228-nucleotide ribosomal RNA is filed under the name Triticum aestivum (bread wheat). RNAcentral describes it as "partial small subunit ribosomal RNA". The record is from RNAcentral. Lineage: Eukaryota; Viridiplantae; Streptophyta; Magnoliopsida; Poales; Poaceae.